RNAcentral lists this ribosomal RNA (497 nucleotides) under uncultured bacterium. RNAcentral describes it as "partial 16S ribosomal RNA". It matches the Rfam family "Bacterial small subunit ribosomal RNA", at positions 28 to 507 of the family's 1533-position model. The record is from RNAcentral.
GAUGAACGCUGGCGGCGUGCCUAAUACAUGCAAGUCGAGCGAACAGACGAGGAUCUUGCUCCUCUGACGUUAGCGGCGGACGGGUGAGUAACACGUGGAUAACCUACCUAUAAGACUGGGAUAACUUCGGGAAACCGGAGCUAAUACCGGAUAAUAUAUUUAACCGCAUGGUUCAAUAGUGAAAGACGGUUUUGCUGUCACUUAUAGAUGGAUCCGCGCCGCAUUAGCUAGUUGGUAAGGUAACGGCUUACCAAGGCAACGAUGCGUAGCCGACCUGAGAGGGUGAUCGGCCACACUGGAACUGAGACACGGUCCAGACUCCUACGGGAGGCAGCAGUAGGGAAUCUUCCGCAAUGGGCGAAAGCCUGACGGAGCAACGCCGCGUGAGUGAUGAAGGUCUUCGGAUCGUAAAACUCUGUUAUUAGGGAAGAACAAAUGUGUAAGUAACUAUGCACGUCUUGACGGUACCUAAUCAGAAAGCCACGGCUAACUACGUG